UUUUAGCGUGGAGGAAAGUCCGGGCAGCGCAGGGCACCGUACCUUAUGAAAAUGAGGGUCUUGCUUAGCAAGAACAGAGAGUGCAACAGAAAAUAAACCGUCACGCCCUUGGCGUGAUAAGGGUGAAAAGGUGAGGUAAGAGCUCACCGCUCCUAAGGUAACAAAGGAGGCUAGGUAAACCUUACGGGCUGAAAGGUCAAAUAAACCGGAGCUAAAGUUGCUCGCUUUUCCGGAGGGUAGACUGCUUAGAUAAAUGAUAGAGCUUGUGCUCGCACAAGAACAGAACCCGGCUUACGCU
Molecule: RNase P RNA, 298 nt
Filed under: marine eukaryotic metagenome
Description: Bacterial RNase P class A
Rfam family: Bacterial RNase P class A
About the family: Ribonuclease P (RNase P) is a ubiquitous endoribonuclease, found in archaea, bacteria and eukarya as well as chloroplasts and mitochondria. Its best characterised activity is the generation of mature 5'-ends of tRNAs by cleaving the 5'-leader elements of precursor-tRNAs. Cellular RNase Ps are ribonucleoproteins.
Source: RNAcentral